UGAGGAAUAUUGGUCAAUGGGCGAGAGCCUGAACCAGCCAAGUCGCGUGAAGGAAGACAGUCCUAAGGAUUGUAAACUUCUUUUAUACGGGAAUAACGGGCGAUACGAGUAUUGCAUUGAAUGUACCGUAAGAAUAAGCAUCGGCUAACUCCGUGCCAGCAGCCGCGGUAAUACGGAGGAUGCGAGCGUUAUCCGGAUUUAUUGGGUUUAAAGGGUGCGUAGGUUGUUCGGUAAGUCAGCGGUGAAACCUGAGCGCUCAACGUUCAGCCUGCCGUUGAAACUGCCGGGCUUGAGUUCAGUGGCGGCAGGCGGAAUUCGUGGUGUAGCGGUGAAAUGCAUAGAUAUCACGAGGAACUCCGAUUGCGAAGGCAGAUUGCCAUACUGCGACUGACACUGAAGCACGAAGGCGUGGGUAUCAAACAGG
RNAcentral lists this ribosomal RNA (424 nucleotides) under Fusobacteriota bacterium. RNAcentral describes it as "Fusobacteria bacterium partial 16S ribosomal RNA". It matches the Rfam family "Bacterial small subunit ribosomal RNA", at positions 355 to 776 of the family's 1533-position model. Lineage: Bacteria; Fusobacteriati; Fusobacteriota. The record is from RNAcentral.